Molecule: long non-coding RNA, 455 nt
Organism: Manduca sexta (tobacco hornworm)
Lineage: Eukaryota; Metazoa; Arthropoda; Insecta; Lepidoptera; Sphingidae
Exons: 2
Source: RefSeq, a predicted model, not a curated record
GUCCAUAGAUAGAAUACUAUAUCGUCUAUGUGUAUUAAGUGAGUUUUGCACACUUUUCUGUUGAGAGUACCGCGUACAGAAUAUAUCUUGCAUGAGUGAGUGAGUGGUUUACUGUAGUACCAACAUUCCCUGACUAUAAAGUUACAAUAUGGCCGAAAGUACAAAUGCGCGCCAUUUAAGUAGAACUUUUGAAGUUGUGUUUAACUAAAGAUCUAAACAUAUAAAUGUGAGUGGGUUUUGUGUUACUUUUCUAUUCGCACAUGAGCGGUCUCUCUGAUGUGACACGAAAAGGAAUUUGCCGCCAUCUAGGAAUGUUGUUUUGGAAAGCCACAGUCCGUAUAACACAGAACAUUACAAGGUAUGUCAUGAUGCUGUUAUCUUUCGUUUCCUUCCGACAUAUGAUAAACUUAUUAAAUACCCUUACUUAUAAAUGCGAAGCAGAUUUAAACAUAGUU